RNAcentral lists this long non-coding RNA (218 nucleotides) under Elaeis guineensis (African oil palm). Its description in RNAcentral is "long non-coding RNA (EGUI_LNC042664)". Lineage: Eukaryota; Viridiplantae; Streptophyta; Magnoliopsida; Arecales; Arecaceae. The record is from RNAcentral.
UCAUAGCCUCUAGCCAUUUGUCUGAGUCCCUUCUCAUGAUGGCUUCCGUAUAGGUCAAAGGUUCAUCAUUUUUAAUGAUGUGGGCUUCAUUAUUCUCAAUAAUGAACCCAUACCUCAUAGGUGCAUUCCGCACCCUAUCCGACCUUCAGAGAGGAGGUAUACUUUGUGUUUGUACUUCAUUAAUGGAUAUUUUUGGUUGAGAAUCAUCUUAUGCUUGC